This 1355-nucleotide ribosomal RNA is filed under the name uncultured bacterium. RNAcentral's name for it is "bacterial SSU rRNA". It matches the Rfam family "Bacterial small subunit ribosomal RNA", at positions 28 to 1381 of the family's 1533-position model. The record is from RNAcentral.
GAUGAACGCUAGCGACAGGCUUAACACAUGCAAGUCGAGGGGCAGCACAGGUAGCAAUACCGGGUGGCGACCGGCGCACGGGUGAGUAACGCGUAUGCAACUUGCCUAUCAGAGGGGGAUAACCCGGCGAAAGUCGGACUAAUACCGCAUGAAGCAGGGGCCCCGCAUGGGGAUAUUUGCUAAAGAUUCAUCGCUGAUAGAUAGGCAUGCGUUCCAUUAGGCAGUUGGCGGGGUAACGGCCCACCAAACCGACGAUGGAUAGGGGUUCUGAGAGGAAGGUCCCCCACAUUGGUACUGAGACACGGACCAAACUCCUACGGGAGGCAGCAGUGAGGAAUAUUGGUCAAUGGGCGUAAGCCUGAACCAGCCAAGUCGCGUGAGGGAUGAAGGUUCUAUGGAUCGUAAACCUCUUUUAUAAGGGAAUAAAGUGCGGGACGUGUCCCGUUUUGUAUGUACCUUAUGAAUAAGGAUCGGCUAACUCCGUGCCAGCAGCCGCGGUAAUACGGAGGAUCCGAGCGUUAUCCGGAUUUAUUGGGUUUAAAGGGUGCGUAGGCGGCCUUUUAAGUCAGCGGUGAAAGUCUGUGGCUCAACCAUAGAAUUGCCGUUGAAACUGGGGGGCUUGAGUAUGUUUGAGGCAGGCGGAAUGCGUGGUGUAGCGGUGAAAUGCAUAGAUAUCACGCAGAACCCCGAUUGCGAAGGCAGCCUGCCAAGCCAUUACUGACGCUGAUGCACGAAAGCGUGGGGAUCAAACAGGAUUAGAUACCCUGGUAGUCCACGCAGUAAACGAUGAUCACUAGCUGUUUGCGAUACACUGUAAGCGGCACAGCGAAAGCGUUAAGUGAUCCACCUGGGGAGUACGCCGGCAACGGUGAAACUCAAAGGAAUUGACGGGGGCCCGCACAAGCGGAGGAACAUGUGGUUUAAUUCGAUGAUACGCGAGGAACCUUACCCGGGUUUGAACGCAUUCGGACCGAGGUGGAAACACCUUUUCUAGCAAUAGCCGUUUGCGAGGUGCUGCAUGGUUGUCGUCAGCUCGUGCCGUGAGGUGUCGGCUUAAGUGCCAUAACGAGCGCAACCCUUGCCACUAGUUACUAACAGGUAAAGCUGAGGACUCUGGUGGGACUGCCAGCGUAAGCUGCGAGGAAGGCGGGGAUGACGUCAAAUCAGCACGGCCCUUACAUCCGGGGCGACACACGUGUUACAAUGGCGUGGACAAAGGGAGGCCACCUGGUGACAGGGAGCGAAUCCCCAAACCACGCCUCAGUUCGGAUCGGAGUCUGCAACCCGACUCCGUGAAGCUGGAUUCGCUAGUAAUCGCGCAUCAGCCAUGGCGCGGUGAAUACGUUCCCGGGCCU